RNAcentral lists this ribosomal RNA (234 nucleotides) under uncultured bacterium. RNAcentral describes it as "partial 16S ribosomal RNA". It matches the Rfam family "Bacterial small subunit ribosomal RNA", at positions 118 to 347 of the family's 1533-position model. The record is from RNAcentral.
UGAGCAAUCUGCCCUUCUCUUCGGAAUAAGCGUGGGAAACCGCGUCUAAUGCCGAAUACGACCUCCUUUCGCAUGAUCGGAGGUGGAAAGCUCCGGCGGAGAAGGAUGAGCUCGCGGCCUAUCAGCUAGUUGGUGUGGGUAAUGGCCCACCAAGGCGACGACGGGUAGCCGGCCUGAGAGGGUGACCGGCCACACUGGGACUGAGACACGGCCCAGACUCUUACGGGAGNAGCG